AGCGAACGCUGGCGGCAGGCUUAACACAUGCAAGUCGAGCGGGCGUAGCAAUACGUCAGCGGCAGACGGGUGAGUAACGCGUGGGAACAUACCUUUUGGUUCGGAACAACACAGGGAAACUUGUGCUAAUACCGGAUAAGCCCUUACGGGGAAAGAUUUAUCGCCGAAAGAUUGGCCCGCGUCUGAUUAGCUAGUUGGUGAGGUAAUGGCUCACCAAGGCGACGAUCAGUAGCNGGUCUGAGAGGAUGAUCAGCCACAUUGGGACUGAGACACGGCCCAAACUCCUACGGGAGGCAGCAGUGGGGAAUAUUGGACAAUGGGCGCAAGCCUGAUCCAGCCAUGCCGCGUGAGUGAUGAAGGCCCUAGGGUUGUAAAGCUCUUUUGUGCGGGAAGAUAAUGACGGUACCGC
This 409-nucleotide ribosomal RNA is filed under the name uncultured bacterium. RNAcentral describes it as "bacterial SSU rRNA". It matches the Rfam family "Bacterial small subunit ribosomal RNA", at positions 29 to 481 of the family's 1533-position model. The record is from RNAcentral.